RNAcentral lists this ribosomal RNA (242 nucleotides) under uncultured bacterium. RNAcentral's name for it is "partial 16S ribosomal RNA". It matches the Rfam family "Bacterial small subunit ribosomal RNA", at positions 96 to 334 of the family's 1533-position model. The record is from RNAcentral.
UGGCGAACGGGUGAGUAAUACGUGAGUGACCUACCUUUGACUCUGGGAUAAGCCUGGGAAACCGGGUCUAAUACCGGAUACGACCAAUCUCUGCAUGGGGUGUUGGUGGAAAGCGUUAUGGAGUGGUUUUAGAUGGGCUCACGGCCUAUCAGCUUGUUGGUGAGGUAAUGGCUUACCAAGGCGACGACGGGUAGCCGGCCUGAGAGGGUGACCGGCCACACUGGGACUGAGACACGGCCCAG